Molecule: transfer RNA, 79 nt
Filed under: Flavobacterium frigidimaris
Lineage: Bacteria; Pseudomonadati; Bacteroidota; Flavobacteriia; Flavobacteriales; Flavobacteriaceae
Description: tRNA-Lys
Rfam family: tRNA
About the family: Transfer RNA (tRNA) molecules are approximately 80 nucleotides in length.
Source: RNAcentral
GUGUGCAUAGCUCAGCUGGAUAGAGCAUCCCGAUUUUUAAUCGGGACGGUCGAAGGUUCGAAUCCUUCUGCGUUCACGA